Long non-coding RNA from Onychostoma macrolepis, 2010 nucleotides. RefSeq lists it as uncharacterized. NCBI's taxonomy places the organism in Eukaryota, Metazoa, Chordata, Actinopteri, Cypriniformes, Cyprinidae. The transcript is spliced from 3 exons. The record is from RefSeq and is a predicted model, not a curated record.
UGUGUGUGUGUGUGUGUUCACCCCCUCCUCUCCUGAGAUCCAGCAGACUGGCAUGAUUUGCUGGUGGUGUGGCCCUGGCUGCUGCUCGGACUGUCUCUCAUCCUCAGUGCCAUCACACCACCCUUCGGCUUUUUCUCAUCGGCACGCUUUCCACCUCUGCGGCUUUUGUCGGCAAGCUGUAAUAUGGAUGUACGGACCUUUGCUUUGAUAUUAACAUCCAUCCAUCUCGCCUCUUGUCCAGCUCUCCUCUCUUUCAUUCUUCCUCUUUCGUUUCACCCGAACAGCCUUCCAGUCAACAUGACCGCUGCGAGAGAACUGUGAUCGGCUUCAUACUCAUCCUCAUCCUCGCGCCAGGAUGAUAUGUAAAUCUAACAGCCUCCUCCAUGUCAGACACGGACUUCGAGUCAGUGAGUUUAGGCUCCGCAAGUUCAAGAAAACACUUCCACAAUGGCGUAGCAAAUGGCUGUUACAUUAUCAGACCCCAAGGAGGCUUUUCCGCACAAACCUGCUGACCCUGUGCAGGCACGAAAUGCCCGUCUGACUGUAAUAAACCCCCCGUAGGGGCUGGAUGUGGGGGCCCGAGUCUCCCUCUCUCACCUUCCGAAAACACUUCCAGUUGCUGGCUCCCCGCUCUCUGCCGUGGCUCUGGCGCUGGUGUCAAAUCUCCUGACUUUGUCUUGAUUGUAUUAAAUCUGCAAAACACAAAUUAAAAUGAAUGUAAAAGAAAUAAACGAUGAAAUGCUUCGGCUUUCUGCGGCUUCUUUGUUUUCUCGGCACACAAGGAUGAGUGAAGGCAGGUUAACGGGGACAGCGGGCCAAAAGCCAUGGGGGAAGGGCUUGUUUUCGUGCAGGCUUUAGCAAUACUAUCCAUUUCAAAUUUAAAUGGAGCUUCCUGCUUCAAAAUCAUCGUCUCCUUUGAAGGUAUUUAAAGAAGCUUUAAAAUAUAAAACAUGUUUGGACACACAUCAAGACAUAUUUUAGAUCAGUUAACAGCAAUUAUAACAAAAGAAAAUUGCCAGUCUGAAUAAAUCAAUAGUUUAUUUUCUAAAUGUAAUUAUGCUGAUGGACCACAUACACAGAGUCUCUAAAAUGCAUUCAGACAUUUAAAAACUGAUGAAUGUCUUUCUAUUUCGCAAAACAUUUCACAAAAAGUUUGUUAGGUUGCUUGGACACCUUCAUCCCUCAACGUUCAGCAAUUAUGACUUUUUUAAACAGCAUAUUUAUUUAAGCAAUAACAAGGAUAAUGGGCUGUUUUGCAUUUGCGCUGACUCGAGUUUUCAAUCUUUGUUUUAGUUUAAUGCGUUCUGUUUGUUUGUGGUCAAUUCCAGGGCACUUUUGUUUUCUUUCAGCGGGGGUAAUAAACCCAUAACGCUGUCGGCCACAUUCAUUUAGUUUUAAUAUCCUCCGCUUCUCAUUUUUCCUUACUAAUCAUUACUGAUGUUGCUUUGAUCCUCAGCAACUGGUUUGUUAUGUGAAUUCUGAAGACCCCUGCAUGUUAGCAGGAAUCCACAGCGCUCUGUAUCUAUUUCUAAUUAUUUAUUAGCCACUUUAAUAGCAAGGAUAUUUUCAGUGUGUUGCUAUAGAAACUAUAUAACAGUGUGCUAUGUUAUUUUCAGGUGGGGUUUUUAAGCAUAUUUGUGAGUGUCAGGCUUGAGGAAAAUGGUGGUCAGCUAGUCACGUGUCAGGUCUCUAUAUACAGAUACAAAGCUUGUCUGUCUGUAAAAGUUUCAGUACAACUUUAACUGUUUUUUUUCUCCUUUUCUCUCCUGCAGUACAUAACAAAUCAUCAAAGCCAGGAUUAAAAUUUCGUGAAGGAGCAGCUUUGACUGCUGGAAGACUUAAGCGUAUUAGCUUUAAAACCAAGAUGGGAGUUUCAAGUGAUGUAUGGCAGACUUCAAAGAUGUUUUAAUCUGUCAGUAGGCAUGCUCUUGCACAGGCUAUUUAUAUUAGGACACAGUGUUUCUUCUGCCUGCAUGUCCUAAUCAAUGGCUUCUCCGGCUAGACCCAGCC